AUUUCUUCGGAGAUUUCACUUUGAGAUGGACCCGCGGCGCAUUAGCUAGUUGGUGAGGUAAAGGCCCACCAAGGCAACGAUGCGUAGCCGACCUGAGAGGGUGAUCGGCCACAUUGGAACUGAGACACGGUCCAGACUCCUACGGGAGGCAGCAGUGGGGAAUAUUGCGCAAGGGGGGAAACCCUGACGCAGCAACGCCGCGGAUAUGAAAGGGCCUUCGGGUUGUAAAGUUCUGUCUUCUGGGACGAUAAUGAC
RNAcentral lists this ribosomal RNA (255 nucleotides) under uncultured bacterium. RNAcentral's name for it is "partial 16S ribosomal RNA". It matches the Rfam family "Bacterial small subunit ribosomal RNA", at positions 195 to 455 of the family's 1533-position model. The record is from RNAcentral.